This 298-nucleotide long non-coding RNA is filed under the name Capsicum annuum. RNAcentral's name for it is "long non-coding RNA (CANN_LNC014156)". Lineage: Eukaryota; Viridiplantae; Streptophyta; Magnoliopsida; Solanales; Solanaceae. The record is from RNAcentral.
UUGACUUUCAUUAUUUUGAUUUAGUUUUUUUUUAUUGGAGGAGUAGGACACAUAGUAUGUGAAAUUUGAAGAAGAGUAUUUGACUUUCAUUAUUUUGAUUUAGUUUUUUUUAUUGGAGGAGUAGGACUAUGUUACUAUUGAUAGAUUUCACUGCCAUAAGACAUAAGACGUAUCAAUAGUUUUCUAUUCUAAAUAGAAAGAAAGUAAAAUUUGUCUAAAUACUAGACAUAAGGAAGCGGGGGAUAAAUGCGUGGAAGAAAAAAUCCUAGAAGGGAUUAUUUGUCUUCCCAGUCUUCGA